GACGAGCCUCACAAACGUUAUCCGGAAUUACUGGGCGUAAAGCGUCCGUAGGGGGUGUGAUAAGUGCAAUGUUAAACAUGCCGGCUCAACCGGUGAUUCGCAUUGUAUACUGUCAUGCUUGAGGUAUGCAGAGGUGUGUAGAAUUCCCAGAGUAGGGGUAAAUAUCCGUAGAUACUGGGAGGAAUACCAAUAGCGAAGGCAACACACUGGGCCAUCACCGUGA
RNAcentral lists this ribosomal RNA (223 nucleotides) under uncultured bacterium. RNAcentral describes it as "partial 16S ribosomal RNA". It matches the Rfam family "Bacterial small subunit ribosomal RNA", at positions 524 to 743 of the family's 1533-position model. The record is from RNAcentral.